Molecule: non-coding RNA, 21 nt
Organism: Caenorhabditis elegans
Lineage: Eukaryota; Metazoa; Nematoda; Chromadorea; Rhabditida; Rhabditidae
Source: Ensembl
UGUGAAGAUUUCUCAUAGAAA